Syngnathus acus (greater pipefish) is the source of this 361-nucleotide long non-coding RNA. RefSeq lists it as uncharacterized. NCBI's taxonomy places the organism in Eukaryota, Metazoa, Chordata, Actinopteri, Syngnathiformes, Syngnathidae. The record is from RefSeq and is a predicted model, not a curated record. The transcript has 2 exons.
AGUGUCGUCGUACGUGCGGCCAAAGUUGUGCAGACUGCUCCGCUUCUGCUCCUCGCACGCAAAAAAAAGUGGAAAAUACAAAUGGGACGGGAUGCACAAUGAGCUACAGCAUGAUGGCGGCUGUGUAACGACGCCGUCUAUCUUCUUGGGAGCGGUGACAGGCGUCUGGAGCUGAUUCGCCCUCCACCCUGGCUCGAAAAGCACAGCCCACCCGCAUAAUUUGCUGCGAGUCGCCAGAUUACCAAUGUGUGCUCAGAUGUCAUUUUGGUGAUGCUGUUUUCUUUUUUCCCUCCCUAUGCAAGCAAGGUCACUAAAGUUGUGUCGAUAUUUCCCCAAUGUGAUAAUAAAAAGUCAAAGCCAA